AUGAACGCUGGCGGCGUGCCUAAUACAUGCAAGUCGAGCGAACAGAUGAGGAGCUUGCUCCUCUGACGUUAGCGGCGGACGGGUGAGUAACACGUGGAUAACCUACCUAUAAGACUGGGAUAACUUCGGGAAACCGGAGCUAAUACCGGAUAAUAUAUUGAACCGCAUGGUUCAAUAGUGAAAGACGGUUUUGCUGUCACUUAUAGAUGGAUCCGCGCCGCAUUAGCUAGUUGGUAAGGUAACGGCUUACCAAGGCAACGAUGCGUAGCCGACCUGAGAGGGUGAUCGGCCACACUGGAACUGAGACACGGUCCAGACUCCUACGGGAGGCAGCAGUAGGGAAUCUUCCGCAAUGGGCGAAAGCCUGACGGAGCAACGCCGCGUGAGUGAUGAAGGUCUUCGGAUCGUAAAACUCUGUUAUUAGGGAAGAACAAAUGUGUAAGUAACUAUGCACGUCUUGACCGUACCUAAUCAGAAAGCCACGGCUAACUACGUG
This 496-nucleotide ribosomal RNA is filed under the name uncultured bacterium. Its description in RNAcentral is "partial 16S ribosomal RNA". It matches the Rfam family "Bacterial small subunit ribosomal RNA", at positions 29 to 507 of the family's 1533-position model. The record is from RNAcentral.